CGGGUGAGUAAUGUAUGGGGAUCUGCCUGAUGGCGGGGGAUAACUACUGGAAACGGUAGCUAAUACCGCAUAACGUCGCAAGACCAAAGAGGGGACCUUCGGGCCUCUUGCCAUCGGAUGUGCCCAGAUGGGAUUAGCUAGUAGGUGGGGUAAUGGCUCACCUAGGCGACGAUCCCUAGCUGGUCUGAGAGGAUGACCAGCCACACUGGAACUGAGACACGGUCCAG
This 227-nucleotide ribosomal RNA is filed under the name uncultured bacterium. RNAcentral describes it as "partial 16S ribosomal RNA". It matches the Rfam family "Bacterial small subunit ribosomal RNA", at positions 103 to 334 of the family's 1533-position model. The record is from RNAcentral.